GUAGGUGGCAAGCGUUGUCCAGAAUUAUUGGGCGUAAAGCGCGCGCAGGCGGUUCUUUAAGUCUGAUGUGAAAGCCCACGGCUCAACCGUGGAGGGUCAUUGGAAACUGGAGAACUUGAGUACAGAAGAGGAAAGCGGAAUUCCACGUGUAGCGGUGAAAUGCGUAGAGAUGUGGAGGAACACCAGUGGCGAAGGCGGCUUUCUGGUCUGUAACUGACGCUGAGGCGCGAAAGCGUGGGGAGCAAACAGGGAUUAGAUACCCUGGUAGUCCACGCCGUAAACGAUGAGUGCUAAGUGUUAGGGGGUUUCCGCCCCCUUAGUGCUGCAGCUAACGCAUUAAGCACUCCGCCUGGGGAGUACGGCCGCAAGGCUG
RNAcentral lists this ribosomal RNA (373 nucleotides) under uncultured organism. RNAcentral describes it as "partial 16S ribosomal RNA". It matches the Rfam family "Bacterial small subunit ribosomal RNA", at positions 527 to 896 of the family's 1533-position model. The record is from RNAcentral.